RNAcentral lists this unclassified non-coding RNA (404 nucleotides) under Hevea brasiliensis (rubber tree). Lineage: Eukaryota; Viridiplantae; Streptophyta; Magnoliopsida; Malpighiales; Euphorbiaceae. The record is from RNAcentral.
AGCAGGCCAAAACCCAAACCAACAUCAUUGGUACAAAAAAAUCAAUCCUAAACAAAUUAGCUUGAAUUGGACCACAAUUGACUUUUCAAUUGUCAAUGUAACACCCCUAAUUUUUAAAUAAUUAUUUUAUAUGUCAAUAUAAAUAUUUUAGUCUAACCCUUAGUGUUGUGGGUUUUGCGUAAGUACUUUCAUUUCGUGGCAUUUCGAUCAUCGCCAGAAUUUGCAAUUUCGGACCGAGCAGAUAAGCCGCCGGAAUUACUUCGGAACCGAGUCAAAGUUAUAUGCUACCCCACCAUUUUCAGACGCUCCAGACGUGUUCCAAGCAUCAGAAUUGACAUAAGUAAACCCGAACUUCGAGUUUCUUUAAUUUUAUAGUGCUAGAUUUAGAAUAAAAUUUCAUAAAA